AGCGAACGCUGGCGGCAGGCUUAACACACGCAAGUCGAACGCCCCGCAAGGGGAGUGGCAGACGGGUGAGUAACACGUGGGAACGUACCCUUUGGUUCGGAAUAACUUGGGGAAACUCAAGCUAAUACCGGAUAAGCCCUUAUGGGGAAAGGUUUACUGCCGAAGGAUCGGCCCGCGUCUGAUUAGCUAGUUGGUGAGGUAAUGGCUCACCAAGGCGACGAUCAGUAGCUGGUCUGAGAGGAUGAUCAGCCACACUGGGACUGAGACACGGCCCAGACUCCUACGGGAGGCAGCAGUGGGGAAUAUUGGACAAUGUGGGCAACCCUGAUCCAGCCAUGCCGCGUGAGUGAUGAAGGCCUUAGGGUUGUAAAGCUCUUUUACCCGGGACGAUAAUGACUGUACCGGGAGAAUAAGCCCCGGCUAACUUCGUGCCAGCCGCCGCAGUAA
This 447-nucleotide ribosomal RNA is filed under the name uncultured bacterium. RNAcentral describes it as "partial 16S ribosomal RNA". It matches the Rfam family "Bacterial small subunit ribosomal RNA", at positions 29 to 523 of the family's 1533-position model. The record is from RNAcentral.